GACGGACGCUGGCGGCGUGCUUAACACAUGCAAGUCGAACGGAAGGGCCCUGCUUUUGUGGGGUGCUCGAGUGGCGAACGGGUGAGUAACACGUGAGUAACCUGCCCUUGACUUUGGGAUAACUUCAGGAAACUGGGGCUAAUACCGGAUAGGAGCUCCUGCUGCAUGGUGGGGGUUGGAAAGUUUCGGCGGUUGGGGAUGGACUCGCGGCUUAUCAGCUUGUUGGUGGGGUAGUGGCUUACCAAGGCUUUGACGGGUAGCCGGCCUGAGAGGGUGACCGGACACAUUGGGACUGAGAUACGGCCCAGACUCCUACGGGAGGCAGCAGUGGGGAAUAUUGCACAAUGGGCGGAAGCCUGAUGCAGCAACGCCGCGUGCGGGAUGACGGCCUUCGGGUUGUAAACCGCUUUCGCCUGUGACGAAGCGUGAGUGACGGUAAUGGGUAAAGAAGCACCGGCUAACUACGUG
This 468-nucleotide ribosomal RNA is filed under the name uncultured bacterium. RNAcentral's name for it is "partial 16S ribosomal RNA". It matches the Rfam family "Bacterial small subunit ribosomal RNA", at positions 28 to 507 of the family's 1533-position model. The record is from RNAcentral.